CAUUUACCAUUUAGUUUGACACAAAAACAAAGCUUUCAUUUUUCAGUUAAUUUUACUGCAGGAAUUAAAAACUCCUGCAUCACCAGGAUCACAGCAUUAUUUCAGAAAUAAUCUGUAAAUGUAUGUCUACUAAACAUCAAAUGGAGCAAAGACAACAUUGUCUGGCAAUAACAAAGGUAGAAGGUAUCCGGACUUUCUUGUCAGGAACAUUGAGACUGAUACAUCUGCUACCAUCUACAGCAGUGCAGUACCUCAACUACUUCAGACAGGAAAUACUACUACCGGUACCACCACCUACUACUUCUACUGCUACUACUACUGCUGGUAC
Long non-coding RNA from Anguilla anguilla (European eel), 328 nucleotides. RefSeq lists it as uncharacterized. NCBI's taxonomy places the organism in Eukaryota, Metazoa, Chordata, Actinopteri, Anguilliformes, Anguillidae. The transcript is spliced from 3 exons. The record is from RefSeq and is a predicted model, not a curated record.